RNAcentral lists this transfer RNA (72 nucleotides) under Heterocephalus glaber (naked mole-rat). It matches the Rfam family "tRNA". From Rfam's summary of the family: Transfer RNA (tRNA) molecules are approximately 80 nucleotides in length. Their secondary structure includes four short double-helical elements and three loops (D, anti-codon, and T loops). Lineage: Eukaryota; Metazoa; Chordata; Mammalia; Rodentia; Bathyergidae. The record is from Rfam by way of RNAcentral.
UAGAGUAUAGCUCAGUGGUAGAGUGCUUGCCUAGUGUGUAUGAGGCUCUGGUUUCCAUUCCCUGUGCCAUAA